RNAcentral lists this long non-coding RNA (860 nucleotides) under Gossypium barbadense (sea-island cotton). RNAcentral's name for it is "long non-coding RNA (GBAR_LNC013755)". Lineage: Eukaryota; Viridiplantae; Streptophyta; Magnoliopsida; Malvales; Malvaceae. The record is from RNAcentral.
CACCCCUUUAAAAAAAGAAACAGAGUUUGAAAACUCUCUCUCGUCCUCUCCAAGUCCGGCCAACAGGGCCGUUGCUCGGGCCGUCGUGGCCAACGGUCGGCGACGCAGGAGGGCGCUCCUGAUCAGCGCUUUGAAGCGCGUUCAAAGACCAAAGCCUUAGAAUGGGGAAACAAUGAGGGAAAAAAAUCUUGGUCCUUCCCUAAACUCGAAUCCGACGGCGACGAAGGACCGAUAACGACGGAUCUAAGGGCCGAUUCAGGUAUGUUUCUUUCUACUUUUCCUCCCUUUUUAUUAUCUUUCGUAUUUUAAAGAAAAUAAACAAAUAAAUAAAAUGGAAUCAAAAUAAAACAAAACAAACAGAUAAACUCUAAAAUAAGAGGUAAUCCCUUCUUCUUCUUCUUUUUUUGUAUUUCUUUUUGUGUUUGUAGCCGAAGAAGAGAAAAUACAAAAUAGCUCUUGUUGUUUUUUUUAUAGGCCAUUACAAACUAUUUAUUUUCUAUAUUUUGUUUGUUUCUCCGUUGUCUGCUUCUACUGUUUGCAUUGAUUUCUCUCUGCAGGUGUCAGGCGUGCGUGGGGGAAGCAUGUGGCGGUGGCGACAAAGGCAGUGGCAGUGGCAGGCCUAAGGGCAACAGAAGACCUAGGUGCAGCGCACCUAGGGUUUUUGCUUGCUGAGAUUUUUUAGUUUGUAGGCUUAGGGUUUUUUUACUAUUGAGCUGUUCUGAUUGGGUUUGUUAUUGGGUUUGUAAUUUGGUUACAUGGACUACUAGCCUUUUUUUAAAAAAAUUUUAGUUUGGUCUGGUUUGGGUUUUGGGCCGGACAAAAUUUGGGUUUUAUAAUGUGAAGAAAACAAUUAAUACCAA